RNAcentral lists this ribosomal RNA (490 nucleotides) under uncultured bacterium. Its description in RNAcentral is "partial 16S ribosomal RNA". It matches the Rfam family "Bacterial small subunit ribosomal RNA", at positions 30 to 507 of the family's 1533-position model. The record is from RNAcentral.
AUUGAACGCUGGCGGCAGGCCUAACACAUGCAAGUCGAACGGUAACAGAAAGCAGCUUGCUGCUUUGCUGACGAGUGGCGGACGGGUGAGUAAUGUCUGGGAAACUGCCUGAUGGAGGGGGAUAACUACUGGAAACGGUAGCUAAUACCGCAUAACGUCGCAAGACCAAAGAGGGGGACCUUCGGGCCUCUUGCCAUCGGAUGUGCCCAGAUGGGAUUAGCUAGUAGGUGGGGUAAAGGCUCACCUAGGCGACGAUCCCUAGCUGGUCUGAGAGGAUGACCAGCCACACUGGAACUGAGACACGGUCCAGACUCCUACGGGAGGCAGCAGUGGGGAAUAUUGCACAAUGGGCGCAAGCCUGAUGCAGCCAUGCCGCGUGUAUGAAGAAGGCCUUCGGGUUGUAAAGUACUUUCAGCGGGGAGGAGGGGAGUAAAGUUAAUACCUUUGCUCAUUGACGUUACCCGCAGAAGAAGCACCGGCUAACUCCGUG